UUGGAGGGCAAGUCUGGUGCCAGCAGCCGCGGUAAUUCCAGCUCCAAUAGCGUAUAUUAAAGUUGUUGCAGUUAAAAAGCUCGUAGUUGAAUUUCGGGAUUCAUCCGUUGGUCGGGCUUCACGGUCCGCACUGGUGUGAUGGGUUCCUACCUUCUGAAUAACCGGCAUGCCAUUAAUUUAGUGCGCCGGGGAAGCAGAACUAUUACCUUGAAAAAAUUAGAGUGCUUAAAGCAGGCCAGUGCCUGAAUAGGUUAGCAUGGAAUAAUAAAAUAGGACGGCAUGGUUCUAUUUUGUUGGUUUCUAGGAUCACCGUAAUGAUUAAUAGGGAUAGUUGGGGGCAUUAGUAUUCAAUUGUCAGAGGUGAAAUUCUUGGAUUUAUUGAAGACUAACUUCUGCGAAAGCAUUUGCCAAGGAUGUUUUCAUUAAUCAAGAACGAAAGUUAGGGGAUCGAAGACGAUCAGAUACCGUCGUAGUCUUAACCAUAAACUAUGCCGACUAGGGAUCGGACGAUGUUAAUCUUUUAAUGACUCGUUCGGCGCCUUACGGGAAAC
RNAcentral lists this ribosomal RNA (551 nucleotides) under uncultured Glomeromycotina. RNAcentral describes it as "SSU rRNA". It matches the Rfam family "Eukaryotic small subunit ribosomal RNA", at positions 548 to 1098 of the family's 1831-position model. Lineage: Eukaryota; Fungi; Glomeromycota. The record is from RNAcentral.